CCUACGGGAGGCAGCAGUGAGGAAUAUUGGUCAAUGGUCGCGAGCCUGAACCAGCCAAGUAGCGCGAAGGAUGACUGCCCUACGGGUUGUAAACUGCUUUUAUAAAGGAAUAAAGUGCGGCACGUGUGCCUUUUUGUAUGUACUUUAUGAAUAAGGACCGGCUAACUCCGUGCCAGCAGCCGCGGUAAUACGGAGGGUCCGAGCGUUAUCCGGAUUUAUUGGGUUUAAAGGGAGCGUAGAUGGGUUGUUAAGUCAGUUGUGAAAGUUCGCGGCUCAACCGUAGAAUUGCAAUGGAUACUGGCAGGCUUGAGUGCAGUGGAGGUAGGCGGAAUUCGUGGUGUAGCGGUGAAAUGCUUAGAUAUCACGAAGAACUCCGAUUGCGAAGGCAGCUUACGAAACUGCUACUGACACUGAUGCUCGAAAGCGUGGGUAUCAAACAGGAUUAGAUACCCUGGUAGUC
This 460-nucleotide ribosomal RNA is filed under the name uncultured bacterium. RNAcentral describes it as "partial 16S ribosomal RNA". It matches the Rfam family "Bacterial small subunit ribosomal RNA", at positions 338 to 795 of the family's 1533-position model. The record is from RNAcentral.